GACACAGACAUGAAGCUCUGAGCUCAGUGAGCUUCCUGAUCUGAUUUACCCGGCUCUUUUCCAGGAGGGAAUUUCCACCAGCCAGUGCUGGAUGCCGCAGUCCAUUUGGAUGAGACAGAAGGGGAAAUUUCCAGGUGGGGACAGCGUCAGCCCUUGCCUGGAGGACACUGAGGAUUUGCGAUCGGGAGGCUCGUGUGCAUUCUUGGUUUCAUUCGGCUCCUUUUCAUCGGUGGGCACCCGGAAGAAGGGAGAAAAGUCUUUGAUGGCCUUCCCCAGUACGCACAGAAGAUGAGAGAUGAGAACUAGUUCAUCACUCCCAGCGCUGCCAUUUUUCAGAGACUCAGAGAGAGCAGAGAACAGAAAUAAGGAGAAUAACGCAUGACUUGUGUUGAUCAAGAUAUUCCUCCCAAUCGUACAAGAAGGGGGCCAGGGACCACUGGUAAGAUGUGGAAUAUGAAACUCAUCAGACCUGGCGUCAUCAGAGGCUGUUCUUGGUUUUCUGCAGGUAAGUCUUCUUUCAUGUCUUUGUUCACCACUUCAGCCGGUUUUCCCUUCUUCCCUAUUGUUCGCAUUUUUUUGUCUGAAGAUUUAUCCUUUCCUGCCACCUUUUUUGCCUUAGUUUCCACAUUUGCAGGAGCAGGGUUAGCGGGCAGACCCCUCUGUGGACCUCCCCUUCCUCCAGGGCAUCAGGGUAGCAGGGCAGGUGCACCAAGAGCCUUCUCGAAGCUGGGGCUGCCUCGCCGCUGCCACCCCUCUAGCCUCCCAUCAUGGGUUCUUUGAGUAGGUUUUGUUUUGCUUUGAGCACUUUUUUGCUUUCUGGCAUAGGAAGCAGCUCUAGGGGCACCCGGAGGGGCUCAGUUAGUUGAGCAUCUGAUUUUGGCUCAGGUCAUGAUCUCAUGGUUGGUGGGUUUGAGCCCCG
Long non-coding RNA from Hyaena hyaena (striped hyena), 919 nucleotides. RefSeq lists it as uncharacterized. The transcript has 3 exons. The record is from RefSeq and is a predicted model, not a curated record. NCBI's taxonomy places the organism in Eukaryota, Metazoa, Chordata, Mammalia, Carnivora, Hyaenidae.